This 443-nucleotide ribosomal RNA is filed under the name uncultured bacterium. RNAcentral's name for it is "partial 16S ribosomal RNA". It matches the Rfam family "Bacterial small subunit ribosomal RNA", at positions 338 to 795 of the family's 1533-position model. The record is from RNAcentral.
CCUACGGGGGGCAGCAGUGGGGAAUAUUGGACAAUGGGGGGAACCCUGAUCCAGCGACGCCGCGUGAGUGAAGAAGUAUUUCGGUAUGUAAAGCUCUAUCAGCAGGGAAGAAAGAAAUGACGGUACCUGACUAAGAAGCCCCGGCUAACUACGUGCCAGCAGCCGCGGUAAUACGUAGGGGGCAAGCGUUAUCCGGAUUUACUGGGUGUAAAGGGAGCGUAGACGGCGAUGCAAGUCUGAAGUGAAAGGCGGGGGCUCAACCCCCGGACUGCUUUGGAAACUGUAUGGCUGGAGUGCAGGAGAGGUAAGUGGAAUUCCUAGUGUAGCGGUGAAAUGCGUAGAUAUUAGGAGGAACACCAGUGGCGAAGGCGGCUUACUGGACUGUAACUGACGUUGAGGCUCGAAAGCGUGGGGAGCAAACAGGAUUAGAUACCCGAGUAGUC